UUCGCCCUUCGGGGUGCAGCAGGCGCGAAAACUUUGCAAUGCGGGAAACCGUGACAAGGGAACUCUGAGUGCCCGUAAAAUCGGGCUGUCCAUCGGUUUAAAUAACCGGUGAAGAAAGGGCCGGGCAAGACCGGUGCCAGCCGCCGCGGUAAUACCGGCGGCUCGAGUGGUGGCCACUAUUACUGGGCUUAAAGCGUUCGUAGCUGGUCUGUUAAGUCUCUGGGGAAAUCUUCCGGCUUAACCGGAAGGCGUCUCAGGGAUACUGGCAGACUAGGGACCGGGAGAGGUGAGAGGUACUCCAGGGGUAGGAGUGAAAUCCUGUAAUCCUUGGGGGACCACCUGUGGCGAAGGCGUCUCACCAGAACGGCUCCGACAGUGAGGGACGAAAGCUGGGGGAGCAAACCGGAUUAGAUACCCGGGUAGUCCCAGCUGUAAACGAUGCGCGUUAGGUGUAUCGGUGACCACGAGUCACCGAGGUGCCGAAGAGAAAUCGUGAAACGUGCCGCCUGGGAAGUACGGUCGCAAGGCUGAAACUUAAAGGAAUUGGCGGGGGAGCAC
Molecule: ribosomal RNA, 558 nt
Filed under: uncultured archaeon
Lineage: Archaea
Description: bacterial SSU rRNA
Rfam family: Archaeal small subunit ribosomal RNA
Source: RNAcentral